Long non-coding RNA from Sparus aurata (gilthead seabream), 2740 nucleotides. NCBI's taxonomy places the organism in Eukaryota, Metazoa, Chordata, Actinopteri, Spariformes, Sparidae. The record is from Ensembl.
GGGCCGUGAUGGCGCUGGCCACCUCUGGAACCUGAUUGGUCAACUCAGGCGCCACCCCAGUUGAUUGACAGCUUACUGUACGUCUCGUUGAAAGAAGCGCAUUGUCGAAAGACAAACGUAGAUUUAACAUCUUUGAAAACACGAAUGGACCCAGAGGACAUACUUUAAAUUCCUGAUUGUGAAGUAAGUUUUCAGGUGGUUUCCUGGUGAGUAACUGUUUUAAACUAGAAGAGAUUUUGUCCCCAAUAGAUGAACUGUGCCAGUAAGCUAACCGUUAGCCUGCUCGCACAGUAUGUUAGCGGCUAACGUUAUGAAAGGCUAUAACCGUUAACGUUAGCAUGAAGCUACGUAGCAUUAGAUAAGGAUGAUGUGGGGAAACCAGGUCAUAGUUAGUUUUUCAGUAAAGCUAUUUACGGACCUUGAAUCAACUGAGUUGGCAAUAAUUUCAUGCUAGAGCUCAAAAUAAACAGUAUGAAUGCUAAGAGAUGAGCUCAAUGUCCAUGUAGCUUGUUUGCUAUUGUAAAAGUCUCAAAUGUAGAGAAUUGACUGAGCGCUGACUAGUCUACAUGGUCCAGUUGAAUUUUACAGUUUCUAGGCUGGUACUUGAUUUAAAACUAUUAGACAGAUGAUGAAUAUAUGCAUCUCCUUACACUGUCACUCAUCAAAUACAUAUAUUUUUGAGAUACGAAAAGUAUUUUCCUAAGUUGUAAUCAGUUUACCUGCACAUCUAGCGGACCAAAGACCCCAAAAGCACACCUUCCUUCUCUUCACCUCGCUCUCACCAUCCGAUGUUGAAGACCUGGCUUUCCAGAGGAUGCACAUUCGCCAUGGUUGCCUCAGUGACCCUGAGGUCAAAGAGGGAAUCCUGUACAGGUAACCAUGUUCCAGGUAAAGGAGCAAGGGUCCCCACCUGGCUGUCAGUAAGGGGGACUUCACAACAGGAGGGGUAUCAUUUCCAUCAGUCACAGUGGAUUAAUGGAACACGUGUAUCCUGUGAACUGUUCCCAGGCCAGAGAAUGACCGACAGAGUUCUCCUGCUCCUGUUCUCGUGCUUCUCUCUUCUGGACAAACUCCAUCCACAAUCCAAACACCACCCACUGCUGUGCCCGAGUCUCAGUCCUAGUCUCAACCAGCCAGACCUAAAGCAAUCCACAGGCUGCAGAUUCUGCCCCAAGGGAGCGUGGAACCUCCGAUUCAAUUGGUUUAAAAGCGGUAAUCCAAGCUCCCGGGAAGCUGAGGCUGGAGGAUCGUCUGAGAUCAGGACCUCUGAGCUGCAUCCUGGAGAAGCCCGGGACCAGCAGGUUGUCUAAGCACGGGUACACCGGCCCAGGACGGAGACGGAGCAGGUCAAAGCCCCCGUGCCGCUCAGUAGUGGGAUCCCGCCUGUGAAUAGACGCCGUAGUGCAGCCUAGGUAACACAGCGGGACCCAGUCUUUAUACUGUUCAACACACACGCUCAACAACAACGUCUUUAUAUGUUACAGCAGCUUCAUCACUGCUCAUUUAAAUCCUUGUUUCCAUCAAAAACCUCCACAAACCAGCUGUUUGUUUGUCCUACACCGCCUCCACCUGGAUGAGAGGAGCAGUAAGCAUCAGUCACACAAACAACUAACAGGGUAUUCUCUCAGUCACUGAAUCAACUUCGACUUCGACUUGAUGGAGAGGAGAAAAUACAUACUUUUACUGUCUUUGUCUAAUAUCUAUCUUUUUGUGAGGUUGGUGGUGUGUGGGUGUGUGUGUAUGUGUCAUUUCUUUAUUCAUUAUGAACUGCUUCAUUUUUCUGAAACCAUUAGUCAACAUUAAAUAUCAUUACUGACUGGUCAUUCUUGUUGCUUGUUCCAACAUUCAUUUGUACUCCAUUUUAUAUAUUUGUAUUUAUUUGAUCUAUUUACAAGAUUCUUCUCUAUUGUAAUGUCAUUUGUAAUGUUAUUUUGGAGCUAAACACCAAAGACUCUCACUGAUAUGAUGAAUCAUGGCAAACUGUCACACCGCCACGGUUCACUGGGAGAAUUAUACAUCACAGAUAUUAAUGUGAUCAGUAACACCUGUCAGGUGUCAGACAGCUCAAAAUGUCUGCUGUAAAAAAAUAUUAGUAAGUGUUAGUUAGUAGGUCAAUAAAAACAGUUACGUCUCAUUUCACAAGAAGCCAUCAGGUUGGUAUAGGGAAAUGCUAUGCAACAACACAAACGGGUCAAGAUGACCCAAAAGCUAGUAUCAUAUUCACAGGGUAAACUGCAAGGUCGACUCGGCAUUAUUUUAAUGUCAUAUCCAAAAUCUUGCCACCACAAAAUUACAAAAAAAUGAACUAUUUCCCUCAGGUACGAGUCCGACCUAUUUUCAGGUUCUUUAAACGCACUAAGUGCUGUAGCCGUGCGUCAUGACUGUGCUACAUGAUAUAGUAGCUGCGUUGUCGUUGCUAGAGGACAUUGCCAAUGCGCAACUUAGCUGACAGUUACCUUUUUUUCAGUGAUUGUUCAAACUCAUUACAUAUUGUACAGGUACAAUAUUUAAGCAUCGCACCUGUACGACCACGGCCAAAAACUCGUUUCACAUUAUACAGAAAAAAAUAGGAUCUAAUUUCACCACCACCACUUCUACCGCUAUACUACCAUCCAGCUCAAUCAGAUCUACUCUACCCAGAGUCAACCAAGCGGGAUCCUAUAGAUCAACCUGCUAUGGGCAGGCUCUGAGGAGUGACUGAGAGCCGGGCUAGCGGGAGUAGCUUCAGUGAAAUCAUUUC